AGGAGGAGAAGGGGAGGGAGAAGAAAUGAAAUCGGCAAAGGAAGAUCUUACCUGGAGGUUUGGUAAGGAAGCCUGGGAGGUUGAAGCGGGGCCGAUCCCGUCUGUCCUCGGAUGAAUGGGGGCUUGGGUGAAGUGAAGGUGCCUCGAAUUUGAAAUCAUUCCAAGUUUUUGAAGGGAAGCCGGACUGCAGCCUCUGCCAUGUUGGAAUUUCAAACCCAAAACAGCUGCUUUGCAAACGAGCCAGCAUGCCAGCCGCUGAACGCCUGCGCAGAGCGCCGCCGAGCCAAAUUUAAAUCACUUUCACACUAAGAGCCAAAGAUCAGUUUUCAACCAAAAAGAAGAAGAAGAAGAAGAAGAAGGAGAGGAGGAGAGGAAGGAGGGAGGGGGGCCGGCUGGUUGGUUGGCUGGUGUUGGGGUGGGAGAAGAGAGGAGCUGCUCGACUCGAGAGGAAGAUCAUCCGCCGCCGACGCGCGCGCCACAUUCACGGGCAAGCCGGCGAGCGAGAGAGGAACUCAAUGGCCGCGCGCGCUUGCUAGUUGCUACCGCCGCAGCCCCCGCCGCCGCCGCCGCCAGCACCGCCGCCGCCGCGCCACCACCACCAGGCCCCUGGCUACCCAGGUCAGGUUACAGAGCAGGGGCCGCCGCCGCUUGCAAGGAGCCACGCUAACGCUGCUGCUGCUGCUGCCUGGAGCUGGAGGUGGCCGCGAGGUCAUGAUAGAGCAGCCGCCAAGCUCCGCCGCCCCUUCUGCGGCCGCCGGGGGGAAGAAGAAGUAGGGAACUUGGGGAGUUGCUGCGAUCCCCGCCACGCCGCCCGAGCUCCUCCUCGCCGCCUCUGCCUCCCGCAGCAGCCGCAGAAAGAGUUCGCCGAGCCGCGCGGGCACUUUCCCCCCGGCAGCCCGGGGAGCCCCAUAUUCCCGAUCCCGGCCGGUCGGCCGCGGUCCGCGCGCCCCCCUCCUGCCCGCCCCCCCCGGCAAAAGCAGCGCCGGCAGUGCUCGGCGUCUCAGGCUUCCUGUCCCCCCCCCCCCCCCCCCCCCCCCUCCCCCUUUUUUGAGAGAAGCAGCAGCGGUAGCAAUCGCCGCGGCGGCAGUGGCGCCACCGGCAGCUCUCCUCCUGCUCCGACCCGUAGCAGCGCGGCGGCGGCGGCCGUCAAUGGCUCUGCCUGUGUCCGGUGCAGCCCGCUCGCCGUAGAGACUCAUUGGGUAGCCUGUGGGACGCCGUAUGGGGCGAACUGCUCCCGAGAAGCCCGAGCCCGGAGGGGGCUGCAGGCCGAGAGCGCCCGCGCAUUUACUUGGGAGUCAAAAAGUGACACCGCGCGCGUCCCAUUGUGCUUCCUCCCCAUCCAGGCAGGGAAGUCAUGCAAUCAGAGAAGCAGGAGAUAUUCCCUACACCACAUCAAAUUGUUUGUUCAUCAGGUGCAAGGCUACAUUGCUGUAGCUGGAGUGUCUUUCCACUAUUUCAAGUAGAGGUCUUCUCACAAUCAACUUCCUCACUGUGAACUAUAGUUUGCACCAUCUUUUGAUCAUACUAAUUGGGACUGAGAGGAGCAGAUGUCUAACAACACAAGGACUAUGCCACUUUUUUACAGGAGAAAUUAGGCUGACCCUGGGACUUUCUCCUAGGUUUCCAUUCCUAGCAAAAAGCAUAGGCAGAACUCUGUAGAACUGAACCACUGCCUAGUUAAUACAUCAUGCUGUUCCCGUAGUGCCUAACCAAAUGCUUACCUAGAAAUUAUGCAGGCAGAACGUGUAAGCAACAGCAAUNAUUCUUGGGAUGCUUGACAUCUGCCAGUUUGACACUGUGAGGCUGGAUGUAACAGAUCACUUUUGGUGCAGUGGGGGACAGAAUGAGGCCCUUUCCUCACAGGACACUGUCCCAUGAUAGGAAGGAGUUCAGACGCCCCCCUCCUGCACACUAAUAUGGAUUACGGAGGCCCUGCUCCCUCCUAACAUGCUCAGUCCACACAGAACAGAGCUUAGUCUGGGCUAGGGUGCCCAAAAUGGUGCCCUAGUCCAGUGUACCNGUAGACUUUCACAUUGAGGUCUAUUGACAUGCUAGUGGUGGUAUAUCAGACCACAGAGGCGUAUUUAAGAACCAAGUGACUGCCAGCUAAAAUAUACAAUAUAAUGGGGAGUCUGGAAGUCUGGUCUCUUCAAGAUCUUUGUAUUCAUCAGGAAAAUGAUUUGACCAUUCUGUUUUUCCUGGAAAAAUGAUUGAAGCUGGUGCCCACCAAACAACUAUGUUUUAGGUCCUCUCAAUGUCAAGAAACUGCUCCAUAGAUGAUGCCAUGCACCAUUGUUGCUCUCCAAAAUGAUAAAAAGUUUUCACCUUGUUGCAGGCACCAAUGUUUUGAAACCAGGACUUACAUCAAUCAGUGGUGGAGUUGUACUGAUAUUUUUAAUUUUUGGCAUGAUAUUCAGAUCCAAAUAAAUGCCAUAAUGGACAUGUCUUUCA
This 2451-nucleotide long non-coding RNA is filed under the name Salvator merianae (Argentine black and white tegu). RNAcentral's name for it is "lncRNA (ENSSMRG00000023258.1)". The record is from RNAcentral. Lineage: Eukaryota; Metazoa; Chordata; Lepidosauria; Squamata; Teiidae.